This 253-nucleotide ribosomal RNA is filed under the name uncultured bacterium. RNAcentral describes it as "partial 16S ribosomal RNA". It matches the Rfam family "Bacterial small subunit ribosomal RNA", at positions 524 to 776 of the family's 1533-position model. The record is from RNAcentral.
UACGUAGGGUGCGAGCGUUAAUCGGAAUUACUGGGCGUAAAGUGUGCGCAGGCGGCAGAGCAAGUCGAGUGUGAAAGCCCCGGGCUUAACUUGGGAAUUGCGCUUGUGACUGGCGUGCUGGAGUGUGGCAGAGGGAGGUGGAAUUCCCGGUGUAGAGGUGAAAUUCGUAGAUAUCGGGAGGAACACCAGUGGCGAAGGCGGCGACCUGGGCAGAUACUGACACUGAGGUGCGAAAGCGUGGGGAGCAAACAGG